Molecule: unclassified non-coding RNA, 233 nt
Filed under: plant metagenome
Description: partial contains small subunit ribosomal RNA, internal transcribed spacer 1, and 5.8S ribosomal RNA
Source: RNAcentral
GUUCCGUAGGUGAACCUGCGGAAGGAUCAUUAUUGGAUUUUGAAACUUCAGGCUGCUGCUGGCUCUCCUCGGAGGGCAUGUGCACGCUUGUUGUCCAUUAUUUCUCCCACUGUGCACAAAUUGUAGACCUUUCAGUAGGCCUAUGUUGUUUUUCACAAUCUCUGAAUGUAAUAGAAUGGUUUUGAAUCUUGGGAAAAACAAUACAACUUUCAGCAACGGAUCUCUUGGCUCUC